RNAcentral lists this long non-coding RNA (876 nucleotides) under Homo sapiens (human). RNAcentral's name for it is "HSALNT0148894". Lineage: Eukaryota; Metazoa; Chordata; Mammalia; Primates; Hominidae. The record is from RNAcentral.
CUGGCUUCCACUUCCGUGGCUCACCAGGAAACUGUGAAGCACAUAUAAAAAUCCACAGGAAGUUGGAAAGAUUUUUUAUUACUAGCCUUGAGGCAAUUCACAUGCUUUUUGCAAAGCUGUUAUAAACUGACAAAUAUACAAGAUGGAUGAUAUUGUAACACACACCUAGAGUGAAAAUGGAGUGCAGAACAAAAUGAUCCACAUCAGAAGGGAAAGAAGUUAGUCAGAGAGGCUGAACAUCUGCAAGACUUUUGAACAGCAUCAGCUCUGGCUGGACAAACUGCAUGCAUUUUGCCUACACAGAAAAAGAUUACUUCUCUUCCAAAUAACCUUGCUCAACCUACAAAAGCUUGCCGUUUUAUUCAUCAGUGAGAGGCAGUUAGUCAAGAUUCUAGCUGCCAUUUGUGACUCAUCCACACCUGUGAACAGCCGUACCCUCAAGAAGUGCACCUUCCAACCACCCUUAUAUGAGCCUGCUCCAAAACCUUGCCAGCCAGCACUUCCAGGUUACGACUAUUGACCUCCAGCUCCCAGUUUCAGAGAGUUCUCCCAGUCUCCUGGAUCACACUGGUCUGAAAGCUGUUUGGUAGACAACCUUCGAGUCUUUCUGCCUUCAUACUGUGGGUAUACCGUUCUCCCAACUGAAAACCCGUUUAUUUUCUUAUCUGUCUACUCAAAGCCUAACCAACACCAAAUGGCCUAGAAAUGCCACGUACCUACCAGUUGCCUCUUUCCUCCUCCAGCCCUUGUGAAUGUGAAUUCACAUCUCUGUUCUCUGUGUUCCUUGGCCACUUAGUACCAUUCACAAUAUCUCUCAUAGCUAGCUCUCUGCCUUAGGGCUGGCCCAUGGGACUAAAAUUCCUUGUGGUAGGUAUU